GACGAACGCUGGCGGCGUGCUUAACACAUGCAAGUCGAACGGAAAGGCCCUUCGGGGUACUCGAGUGGCGAACGGGUGAGUAACACGUGGGUGUUCUGCCCUGCACUUUGGGAUAAGCCUGGGAAACUGGUUCUAAUACCGAAUAGGACCACGCGCUUCAUGGUGUGUGGUGGAAAGCUUUUGCGGUGUGGGAUGGGCCCGCGGCCUAUCAGCUUGUUGGUGGGGUAAUGGCCUACCAAGGCGACGACGGGUAGCCGGCCUGAGAGGGUGACCGGCCACACUGGGACUGAGAUACGGCCCAGACUCCUACGGGAGGCAGCAGUGGGGAAUAUUGCACAAUGGGCGCAAGCCUGAUGCAGCGACGCCGCGUGAGGGAUGACGGCCUUCGGGUUGUAAACCUCUUUCAAUAGGGACGAAGCGCAAGUGACGGUACCUAUAGAAGAAGCACCGGCCAACUACGUG
This 462-nucleotide ribosomal RNA is filed under the name uncultured bacterium. RNAcentral describes it as "partial 16S ribosomal RNA". It matches the Rfam family "Bacterial small subunit ribosomal RNA", at positions 28 to 507 of the family's 1533-position model. The record is from RNAcentral.